Molecule: ribosomal RNA, 216 nt
Filed under: Glomeromycotina sp.
Lineage: Eukaryota; Fungi; Glomeromycota
Description: partial small subunit ribosomal RNA
Rfam family: Eukaryotic small subunit ribosomal RNA (bases 40-216)
Source: RNAcentral
GGGUCAGUAGGUUGGUCGUGCCACCGGUACGUACUGGUCUCACUGAUUCCUCCUUCCUGAAGAACCGUAAUGCCAUUAAUUUGGUGUUGCGGGGAAACAGGACUGUUACUUUGAAAAAAUUAGAGUGUUUAAAGCAAGCUAACGCUUGAAUACAUCAGCAUGGAAUAAUAAAAUAGGACGAUCGAUCCUAUUUUGUUGGUUUCUAGGAUUGACGUA